GCUGGGGAGGUCUCCACCCCCUGCCGACGUCAGAUCCGAGUGCGCAUGCACGGCAAGAGCCACACGUGCAUUCAAACCGCCCAUAGGAAAGCAUUACUCAGUGCUUUCCUAUGGACGUCAGCGUCUUCUCACUGUGAUUUUCACAGUGAGAAUCACAGAAACGCCUCUAGCGGCUGUCAGUGAGACAGCCACUAGAGGCUGGAUUAACCCAUAGGUAAACAUAGCAGUCUGAAACUGCUAUGUUUUCAGCUGCAGCGUUAAACCUAGAGGGACCUGGCACCCAGACUACUUCAUUGAGCUGAAGUGGUCUGGGUGCCUAUAGUGGUCCUUUCAAGGCAGACAGUCACAGAGGCAAACACACAGUUAAAGGCAGACAGUCAUGCACAGUUACAGGCACACAAUCACAAACAGUCACACACACAGUUACAGGCAGACAGUCACACAUACUCCAUUACAAGCAGACAGUCAUACACACUCCGUUACAGGCAGGCAGACACUCACGCACGCUGUUAGGCACACUCACACUCAGUUAAAGGCAGAUAGUCACACAUACAGGCACAAACAAAGGCACAGCUACAGCGACACAAUUGGAGUCGCAGACAAUCACAUACAGGCAGACUGUCACACAUACAUAUGCAGAACGUCACACACACACACACAGACAGACAGUCACACACACAUACACACACAGGCAGUCUGUCACACACACACACACACAGGCAGGUAGUCACACAGGCAAGCAGUCACAGUCACACACACCUACCUCUUUCCAUUAUGACUGGAAGGGAGAGUGGAUGCAGUUGGUUGUUGGGGAAGCAGGGACUCUUUCCUUCUUCCCUCUUCCUGUGCAGCAGUUACCAGGGGCUUCGGGUAGGUGUUAGCCCCGCCUCUGCCUCAUGAUAAGCUCCACCCUGCUGCUUGGUAAGCCCUGCCCCACUGCCUCGAUAUUUCUUUUCCAUAGACCUGGGUGGAGAAUAAUGAAAUCCUCCACCUGGGUACCUGUUUUAGCUCCCCCUGCUCUCCUGUCACCCAGCCAUGUGAGAGCUGUGUCGGCCGCAUGGUGCCCCCUGGUCCAUGGCGCCCUGUGCAGCCGCACAGCUCGCACACCCCUAAGGCCGUCCCUGAUUGUAGUGUAAAAACAUGUUACUGUGAAUAUUAUUGUUGUGGAGCUCUGUUAUACACUCAGACACACCAACAAUAUGGAGCUCCUAGAAAAGAGGGACAGAGGGAUUUGGAUUCAAAAUAGGGACUGUCCGUCCUAAAUAAAGGCAUGUGGGAGGUAUGCAAUUGACAUCCCAUGGAAUCCUCCACAGAAAGAUUGUUUGUUCCCUUAGCCAUAACUCUACCUUUUGUCCAGCUUUGUCAAGUGUAGGAAAUAUACAUUGUGGCGAAAAUAACCUCGCCACUGGGUUUUGGAGGGGCCUGUUUGCCAGCCUUUUGCCCCAGGAUUAUGGCCCAUGCGUUAAAACUUUGUUUCUCCCUGUAAAAAGGCUUGUUAAAAAGGUGACUUCCAUGGAAAAUGUGCCUUUUCCCCUCCCCUUUCAACUUUCCUAUUGUUCUCCAGCAGGGCGUUGUCCCAGGGACACUGCCAGACCAGUUUAAACUGGCUGCUUUGUCCCUCCUCAAUCUCUCAUCAGCUCUUGCUAAAUUUUAACCCCAUGGCGAUUUUAUUCUGUUUGUGGGAUCUGAAUGUGGGGGUUCUGUUCAGUAUAAUAGGAAUUAGGUAUUUUUAUGUAUUUUUAUUGUUGUUGUAAAUGGAGAUAUUCCCUGUACUUCGCGAUAAUUAAGUUACCGCACCCACUUAAGCCAAUUAUCUCCAGGAUAGAGGAGAAGAUAGACCGGCUGUACAGCCUAAAUCUGUGGAACUGCUUUGGGCAUGAAAGCCAUGCCUGCAGUCGGUCAAAUAGGAGUUCCAUCUAUCUUUUGAACCACUGGGCCAAUUUGUAUGAUUUUUACAUAUGUUUUUACACUGAUUAUGCUGGUUCAGAAUAUAUGACUUUUGUGGAAAUUGUAUGUAUAGUUUGGAAGUUAUGAAUAUUGUAUAAAACUGUAUAUUUUCCUGUCUGUGAUAAUGAAGUUAGCCCAUUGUGUUCAGUAAAUAUUUCACAGGCAGAGGGGAGGGUUUGUGUGUAGUAUUUGGAUGUGUUUAAAUGUACAAGUCUGUCCUGAUUGGUUUUUACAACAUUAUGUCCUGUAUUCCACAAGGUCCACGUGGGUGGUAACUUUGUGGGAAAACUUGUAUAUAAGUGCCAAUAAACCCUCAGACUGCUGAGUUCCUGUUUUACCCUCAACAUAGAGCCCCAUGGCGAUUUUAUUCUGUUUGUGGGAUCUGAGCGCUGUUCGGAUAUAUUGAGGGCUCAGAUCCAAGCUAUCUGGGGAUAGGUUGAAUGUGGGGGUUCUGUUCAGUAUAAUAGGAAUUAGGUAUUUUUAUGUAUUUUUAUUGUUGUUGUAAAUGGAGAUAUUCCCUGUACUUCGCGAUAAUUAAGUUACCACACCCACUUAAGCCAAUUAUCUCCAGGAUAGAGGAGAAGAUAGACUGGCUGUACAGCCUAAAUCUGUGGAACUGCUUUGGGCAUGAAAGCCAUGCCUGCAGUCGGUCAAAUAAGAGUUCCAUCUAUCUUUUGAACCACUGGGCCAAUUUGUAUGAUUUUUACAUAUAUUUUUACACUGAUUAUGCUGGUUCAGAAUAUAUGACUUUUGUGGAAAUUGUAUGUAUAGUUUGGAAGUUAUGAAUAUUGUAUAAAACUGUAUAUUUUCCUGUCUGUGAUAAUUAAGUUAGCCCAUUGUGUUCAGUAAUUAUAUCACAGGCAGAGGGGAGGGUUUGUGUGUAGUAUUUGGAUGUGUUUAAAUGUACAAGUCUGUCCUGAUUGGUUUUUACAACAUUAUGUCCUGUAUUCCACAAGGUCCACGUGGGUGGUAACCUUGUGGGAAAACGUGUAUAUAAGUGCCAAUAAACCCUCAGACUGCUGAGUUCCUGUUUUACCCUCAACAUAGACCC
This 2998-nucleotide long non-coding RNA is filed under the name Pelobates cultripes (western spadefoot toad). The record is from RNAcentral. Lineage: Eukaryota; Metazoa; Chordata; Amphibia; Anura; Pelobatidae.